This 471-nucleotide ribosomal RNA is filed under the name Lautropia sp. canine oral taxon 060. RNAcentral describes it as "bacterial SSU rRNA". It matches the Rfam family "Bacterial small subunit ribosomal RNA", at positions 9 to 475 of the family's 1533-position model. Lineage: Bacteria; Pseudomonadati; Pseudomonadota; Betaproteobacteria; Burkholderiales; Burkholderiaceae. The record is from RNAcentral.
GAGUUUGAUUCUGGCUCAGAUUGAACGCUGGCGGCAUGCUUUACACAUGCAAGUCGAACGGCAGCGCGGGCUUCGGCCUGGCGGCGAGUGGCGAACGGGUGAGUAAUACAUCGGAACGUGCCCAGUAGUGGGGGAUAGCUCGGCGAAAGCCGGAUUAAUACCGCAUACGACCUGAGGGUGAAAGCGGGGGACUUUAGGGCCUCGCGCUAUUGGAGCGGCCGAUGGCAGAUUAGCUAGUUGGUGGGGUAAAGGCCUACCAAGGCGACGAUCUGUAGCUGGUCUGAGAGGACGACCAGCCACACUGGGACUGAGACACGGCCCAGACUCCUACGGGAGGCAGCAGUGGGGAAUUUUGGACAAUGGGCGCAAGCCUGAUCCAGCAAUGCCGCGUGUGUGAUGAAGGCCUUCGGGUUGUAAAGCACUUUUGGCAGGAACGAAAAGUGCCGUGCUAAUACCACGGUGCGAUGACGG